GAUGAAGAACGUAGCAAAAUGCGAUAAGUAAUGUGAAUUGCAGAAUUCAGUGAAUCAUCGAAUCUUUGAACGCACCUUGCACUCCUUGGUAUUCCGAGGAGUACGCCUGUUCGAGUGUUAUGAAGCUCUCAAAACGCAAUUGGCUUAAAACCUGAUUGUUGUUUUGGAUUUGAACUUUGCCGUGUUAUAACGGCUGGUUUUAAAAGUAUUAGCUGGUACUAGAACGAAUUGGUUCUACUCAACGUGAUAAUUAUCUGAUCGUUGAGGACAUUCCUUUCACGAGGAAUGGCCAUAGUAAAUUCAAUGGACUGCUUCUAAUCUGGCUUUAAUUCUUUAUUGGAUUAACCACUUUUCAAAUCUGACCUCGAAUCAGGUGGGACUACCCGCUGAACUUAAGCAUAUCAAUAAGCGGAGGA
RNAcentral lists this unclassified non-coding RNA (416 nucleotides) under soil metagenome. Its description in RNAcentral is "partial contains 5.8S ribosomal RNA, internal transcribed spacer 2, and large subunit ribosomal RNA". The stretch from base 1 to 120 matches the Rfam family "5.8S ribosomal RNA", at positions 35 to 154 of the family's 154-position model. The record is from RNAcentral.